RNAcentral lists this long non-coding RNA (4821 nucleotides) under Rattus norvegicus (Norway rat). RNAcentral's name for it is "long non-coding RNA NONRATT029429". The record is from RNAcentral. Lineage: Eukaryota; Metazoa; Chordata; Mammalia; Rodentia; Muridae.
UUCUGAUACAGUGUAUAUUAGGGCCAGUCAGUUUGAAUUUUUCAAGUCUUUAAUGUUUAAUAAUAGAAUGCUUCAAAAAUUAAUAUGCCAGAUAAAAGAAAUCUCUAUAGUUCCCAUCUCAUGCAAAUGUAUUUAAAACAAAUAAUUCCUUGAACUGCUUGAAGAAUAGGAAAGGUAGUAAGUAUAGGUCAUUUUAAUAAAAUUUGAAAUCUGUACUACACAGCAUGCAGAAAUCCCUUUAACACUAGUUAGAUUUAUUUAAUCUGAUUCUUGAGCCGAAAUGGAAUUUACCACAAAAUUUCACACACAGAAAUUAAUUUUAGGCCUUUUGAAUGAAAGUCAUUUAAUUUAAAAAGAUUUCUAGGGACAGUAAUAUAAUAGGACAUCAGAGUAUGGUUAGUUCCCUUAAGAAUAUUCUAGUUGUGGGGCUGGAGGGAUGACAUAAUAAUAACAGUGCUUCCUGCGCUUACAGAGGACCCAAGUUCAGUUCCCAGCAGCUACAUGGCAGCUCACAACUUCCACAGAAUCCAAUUCCCUCUUUUGGCCUCCACUGACAUGCACAUAACACCAUCCUACCCGCACACACACACACAUGCACAUAAUUAUAAAUGACAACAGUAAACCUUAAAAUACUAGUUAUAUACCAGAGCUAUGUGAUGGAAAUAACUUGAUUUGAAUUAUGUAUAGAGUAAAAUCAUUUAAAUAAAAAUCCUAGCUAAUUUAAAUGUAUAAUUUAAAAAAUACUGCUACUGUAGAAGUUUGUGAAGACAUGCUGAAAACUGGCAUUACAUACACUCAUCUUUUCAUUCUCAGAGCAACCAUUAUUAUAAUUAAUAUUCAUAUUUUACAAAUGAGGAAAUAAAAAUUAAAUGGAAAUCUGUCUGUUUCAUCCCAGACAUACCUGGGAUUUCACCCUGGGUCUGUCUCUCCAUGUGUCUUUUAUGCACAACACAUGGUCUACAUUCUUUAUGAGCUGAUGUGCAGUGUCCUGACAUGUUGUGCUCCAGCAGACGUGUGGUUUGUGUGUAAGCCAGGCCAGGUUCCUUAAUGAUCUUAAGUUAGGUAAAGCUAAAACAGUUCCUAAUUCAAUACAAAAUUCAGCCCACAUCUCAACAGUCGUCUUACCUGUCUCCUAAUAUUUUUACAUUGCAGAAGAAAAGGGAAAGUAAAUGCUAGGAGACAGUGAAGGGAGCAGAUGGAGCGGGAGCUCCCUAACGUGACCCCGUACCUCUCUCGGAAAGAAGACUUUUAUGUAAACUUGCAGUCUUCUCAAUCCUUUGACUCCAUCUUUAAAGCUUCAGUUUUACCAAUGUUAGGAAAAAGUUGUUAAUCCAGAGAACUAAAUAAUCUGUAGAGAGAGUAGAAGGUUAACAUUCGCAGGCUUGUGGAGCUUCUGGAUGUGUGUAUACUUUUUCCAGAACCUGUAUGUUGGUUCUGAAUAUAAGGAACACUCAAAUCAGUGGGAAUUACAAAUUUUAUUUAAAAUAUUUCCAAGUUUGACUUCUGAAUCCCAAAGGAAAAUCUGAUAUGGUACAGCUAACCUGUUUACUCUCUGUUAAUUAGUCAUUUAAAGUGGAAAGAAAAUAAACAUUGGUUUCCUCUUGUCAUGUUUAUGGACAUAAAUAUUUCACUGGGAGUCACUAUUAGAAUUUGAUAUUAUAUUUAUCACAUUUUAUAAACCUAUGUUGAGCUUAGUACCAGUCAUGUAUAUGUUAUUAUAUGAUUAGCCACAGGUUUUUGAAAAUAUAUAAUUACCUUAUAUCCUUAAGUCCUUAAAAGAUUCUGCACACAUUCUAAUUCUACUGUUCUAGACCAGCAUUCUAGGAUGUGUGUAACAACCCCUUAUAGGCCCUAGGAGCCUUUUAGGCUAUAAUAGUUUUAAAUAUUCACACCCUUGACUAGCAGUGGGUUGUGGUGUAUUUUGCUUUUCUUUUUAAGUUUUUUUUAGAUUAUGAACUAUGCAAACUUCAUCCAAAAACUACCUUUCAUGAUCCCUUCCUAACUGCUUUUUGAUUCUUUCAGUCUAGCCAGCUACUUUCUGAACUACUUAACAAAGGUUAUUAUCAAAAAAGACUUUUCUAUAAGUGUCCACAUUAACACUGAGGAAAUCUCCAUGUGCCCAAAGAGGUGGUAACACCUACCUGUUCCUCUCUUUAAGUCCCUCAUGGUUUAUAGCACCUGUCCUCCACUGUCUGACUUGCAGUCAUAUGUCAGGAAAGUUUUCUUCAUACCUGUUCAGUCUCUCUCAUUUGAUUUAAGGUCUGUUUCUCAUACCUAGUAGGGAGAAGAGAAGAGACAGUCAUCCUCUCUAACACUCUUCAGUCAGCUUCUGGCUUCUCAGUUAACACCAGUUCAUCAGAUAAAAUUGUUCCACUUCUUUUAGGGUUUUUUUCUUCUCAAAUCUAUUUUAAUUACUUUAUUUAUAUUUAAAAGCACUAAAAUUCUAUGUUAUAUUCAAAUUAAUUAUGCCAGUUAAUUUAUAUCACAAUAGUUUGAUAGAAUUGAGAAUAAAGAUGUUACCAUUGGAUUUAAUCAUCAGACCACCUGAAAAUCAGCACCUAACAUUUUUGUAUUAUCUAACAUUUUUCUAUUAAAGUAUGUUUUAUGAUUUUUAUAUCUGUACAGAUAUAACUAGAAAGCCAUGCAUAUAUAGUUGUGUAUCUUUUUUUCCAUUAAACGCUAACCUAUGUUGCAGUAUGAUACAAGUAUUAUAUGUUUGGGUAUUAUGAUUGAGCCACAACAAAUAUUACACAUUUUUCUUUAUCAAAUACUUUAUUAAACACUAAAUGCAAAACUAAUUUUCAAAAGCAGACCCUACAAAAAUCAGGUAUUCGUGGUUGUUUUAUAUUUUUGUAGACCACUUUUGAAAUGCUUGUCACUGUUUUUGCAGCAUAGACUGGACUAAAACAGUUUUCAUUUCAACUCUUAAAUGAUUAAAACUAGGUGUUUGCAUAGAAAGGAAAUUCUUAAAAAUUUAUCCCAUGGCAUAUAAAUUUUGAGAAGCUAUACUUUGUGUUAAGAUUAUGCCCCAAAUAAAUCUAUUGAGUCUUUUUAAAAUUUUCCAUUUUGUUAUUACUGAUGUUUGUGGUGUUUCUAAUGAGCAUUGUAAACAUACAUAUUCACUUGUAAAAUGUAGUUUGCAGCCCACAUUAAAAUCUGGAGCAGAAAGAAUAUUUAGAAGUAUUUUUGCUUCAUUAGAAUGUCUAGUUUGUAAGUGAAUUUAAAAAGAAAAUUGACUGUACUUGAAUUUACAACUUGACUGUUCUUUCUUUUUAAAAUGCUUUUCCCCCAUUUAAUUAGUAUUUUAAGUUCCAGAAACAUCUUCAUGGUUUGGAAUCACUUUUAGACAUAGUAUUACUUAAAAACUCAGGGCCCCUUUCAACUGUUUGUACACUGAAAGAGUUCAGAUGCUAACAAACAAGCAAUUAGAUCUAGUUGAAUAUUUAAAAGUAUUUGUUGCAUAGUAAUGUUUCAUCAUAUUAUUUGACUUAAUUCACAUCACAUGAUGUUUGAUUUCAUUAAUCAUAAAACUUGCCCAGUUCUGUAAUUACUGUACAGAAGGAAUUACUCAACUAAUUGGCCACAUGUUACAGCAGAUUUAAGCCUUGGAGUUGAAGCACUGGCUUAAACACUUUCUGUUCUUGGUUCUGUGGAUGUACGUGAUGGGGCAAAUGUUUCAUUCUGUUUUGUUUUUUAAUAUCAAGAUUAGGAAAGGUAAUUCUGACAUGGAAUUUCCUCAUGGGAUAAUUAGCAUUAUAAGACUUUCUAAAAGUGAGCAGCUGUCGUUGGUGACAGCUCAAUGUCUUUGAGAAGGUGAGCUAUGGUGACCAGCUUUCCACACUGUCAGAGGCAAACAGUUGUUCUUUGAGUUGACAAGCUCAAGUUCUCAUUGGUCCGCUGUAUAUUUAAAUCUUAGCAGUGAGUUUCUUGUAAUCAGUCUCUUGUCUCAGUCUCCCCGCCUUGUUAUCAGUCGUAAGCAUAUAAAAGAAACAUUUGUAAAGAUGUAUAAGAAUAAGAAAACUAAUGACUAAAAAACGCAAUUCAAAGCAAUUAGGUUUCAAUUUAAUCUUGAGUUGCUUCACUUCUGUGGCUUAUUUUUUUUUUCUAGUAACAUUUAUUUAUUUAAGCAGUGUUGUAUGCCUUCUCUUUAUUUCCAUAGAGAUUAUUGUAUGGGCUUGUGUAAGCUGGAAUCAUUCUUAAUUUUCUGUUGCUAAUUUUUCAGAUGACUUUACAUGGAUAGCUGUAAAAUAACUCUUAGGGUGUUAUAGCUGAAACAUUGGCUGGAAGACGUGUAGCUGCCAUGCCUUUUCUGAAUGGACAGGAGAAACAGAAGCUACCAAGUAUUCACUUCUGAGGAUGCUUUUCCGGAAAAGAAAGGCUGACAAUACGGGCACUUCCUCAGAACCCUCCUUCUUGUUAACGGGUAUCUUUCGUUGGUGUGUUUUGCUCUUACAUUACAGAUAGACUAUUGUGUGUGAAUUUAUGAGUAAUUACUUUCAGUUAUUUUGCUUUUGUAUAAGCCAUCUGAGACCUUGCCAUGCUGUAUAAGUCGUGUGACGGAGCAGUGUGAGUGUGAGUACAGCAGAUCACUCUCCUUUUGUAUUAUCUAUGGAUGCCACUAUGAACGCUGACAUUAAGCCACUGAAGAGUUUUCUAUGAAUAAGUGUAAGUAAAUGCUUUGAUAUAUAUAAACCUAAAUAAACAGAUUGUAUUGAGACAGAGACAUUGGCCAAGGAAGUUUGAAGGUGGUUCUUUAGGUUUAAAAGGCUUGCUGUAAAAUGGUGCAUUAUUCCACUUAUUAAAGAUCAUAUUAAUGACAAC